Non-coding RNA from Sus scrofa (pig), 2803 nucleotides. The record is from RefSeq and is a predicted model, not a curated record. Lineage: Eukaryota; Metazoa; Chordata; Mammalia; Artiodactyla; Suidae.
UUAACCCUUUUUAACUUACCAUCACGUAAUAUUUUCCGCUUACAUGCCACGAGGAUUCUGGGCAGGGCCAGGUGGGGGCAGAGUGGAGGGGUGCAGAGGGAAGGAGGAUGUGAGGGGGGAGGAAUAAUAGAAACCUUUUUACUAUAUUGAUGCGAAAUGAAAAGUAAUUCAGAAAUGCAAUUUAGCGAUGACCUCUCCUCUGGGUGGCUAUGAAAAACAGCCUUGUUUUCUUUUUAUAAAGAAAUGCUGGCAUGCUUGACUUUAGUGAAUCAAGAGAAUUGUUUGGCAAAUAACAGUGAUGGUGUGUGUCCUUGUCAGAACACCUGCUGUAUUCUCCCAGCAAACACUGGGGCCACGGCGUCUCUCCUCUAAUGACACCUCAUCAAUCCGCUCCUAUCAAUGUCCCAGCCAUGGAGGUGACUUCGAGUGCUCAGAAGCCUUAGAAAAUGUCAACGUUUUGGGAGAAAAGGUGAGGAAAAAGAGACAAGAGUUUGGCAGCAAGUAACUUCCAGAGCUGGGAAUCAAGCUAAGCUUGCUGACAUGGUGUAUCCUGAAAUGGAGAGAGUUAAAUGAAGAAUUUGAAAUCCUCCUAAGGCCAGAAACCUGCGCGUGCUUUGGAUGUAAGUAACAUUUGUCAAGCCUGAAUUUUAGAAAGUUUGUAUAACAUUUAAUUCAUUGUUUUAAUCCAAAGGAGAACAUCCUGUUUACUGAGCCCUCAGAGUUGUUGAAAUAUGAAUAUGAAGUAGGAAUCCUUUCAACAUCCCAGAUUGUUCCUAUUUUUAUUUUUAUGUCUGAGAGUAUGGAUGUUCAGAGACGUUAAGUAACAUACUCUAAAUAACAUAGGUAAAAAGUACCAGGGCCAGGAUUUAAACCUGGUUUUGAUCAUUUUAAGGCCCAUGGGAAGGCCUACCACUUGCUAUCAAGACACAUAAAGCACAGUGCCUAGAGUGAGCUAACAACCUAUUAUAGAUUCCACAUGCAUCCCAUUUUCUGAGGCUUGUUAAAUUGUCUGAGAAAGGGCAUUAUGAUCAGUUUUCUUCAGUAAAUUUCACCAGUUUGGCCAAAGCCACUGAGGCAAGGUGACCUGAACGGCAUGUUGGUUAAUGUAGAUUCAAACCUGGAUGGUUGUUUUAUUUCUUUGUGAUGCUUGCCUGAUCUGGAAAGAAAGCAUAUCCUGUUGACUGAAGGAGAUUGGAUGUCAAAAACAGAAUGAGGAAAAUGGGGAUAGAGAAUUAUUGGGGCUCCUAAGCGAUAUGAAUGGAAUGGAGAGAAUCUGACAAAAAACGUUCUAUGGGGGACUUUUCCCUUGAUUAAAUUAGAGCUAUUUGAAUAGCUAAUUGAAUGAUAGGGUCCAGGAGAAAAGAGCAGCAACCUUAUGUAACCUUUCUUCUUAUAUUUUUAAGUCGUUGGGCAGUUUUACAGCACACCACAUUAGGCGGGAGCAAAGUUUCUUUGCUCAUGGUGAGUUAGCCUCAGAAAUUUCUACACAUACAUCUUUUAAGGAAGAUGACUGUAUAUUUUGGUCAAAGCUAGUAAGGUCAUUGCUUUUGUAUGUUGCUUAAACCUUUCCUGAUAAUGCGCUAUGAACCUCCCUUCCUAUCCCCUGUAGUUGCAUGACUUCUGCUGAGAAUGGGUAGGGAUGCUCAGCCAGGCUGCUGGCUCCAUGCUACUUAGCUGUAACUUAAUAUUCCUAAGUGAAACUUGUUUUGGAGCUUAAGAACUCUGGGAGGUAUUGGUUGCUCCUUCACAUUUCCUGCCACAAACAUUUCCAACUCUCCUUGGAGCAUAAGAGGUGUGGGAGGGGAUGGUGAGGUCUGAGGCAGCCUGCUGUUUGGUGGGUCACAGUUUCCCCUCACCAGGGCUCCCUUUACUCCUUUUGAGUGUGCUGAUAUAGAAUGGGGAUGUGUUUGCAGCGGAAUUUAGUUGGAAGAGAAGGGCUCUGUGGGUCUGGAGUUCAGUCUUUCAGUCAUGGAGCUGGAGUGCCCUCUGCUGCUCUGGAGAGGAAGGUGCAUGAACAGCAUGGCUCUUGCCUGCACUUUGCUCCAGGUACAGGAAAAUCUCCAAAAUGCUCCCUUUGAAAACCAGUGCUCGGUUGAUCACUAAGCAUCUGGUUUCACUCAACUGUGGGGACUUUGGCUUUUUCAAGAAAAUCUCAUUGAGGCUGAGUAUGCAACCAGACCAGAGCCCACAUGGAAGGUAGCUUUCCUUCGGUCAAAAGGUGUGACAGCCAUUUCAGGAUAGGUAUUUGGCUUAUUUUUCAUGAGUGUCAGUGUCACCAUGAAAUAAGUGUUUAUUUUGUGUGUGAUCAAUCUUUUCAUAUAUAUCUGGGAUAACUGAAUAUUGUUAUUCCAGGUUUGGAGGUUUCUAUAUAUUUUCCUUUUGCAGUGUGUAAAAUCAAUGUUGAAAAAUGUUCUUUGUGGAAAAUGCAAGCAUUUUUAAAAAACAUUUCUUGCUUUACUUUUUAAUGUAUUUUAUCAUUCUGCAGUGGCAUAUUUUUAUAUAGUCUUAUAAUUUACAACCACUUUCUCAUAAUCUCAUUAAAACAUCCUGGUAAAUCUGAUAUAAGCUAUGUAGCUCCUACUUUAUAGACAGAAAAGCAAGUUUAAAGUCAUACCCAGUCAUAUAAGCGGUAUCAGAAGUGAGAACUGGGUCAGCUAAUGUGCUGAGCUCCAGGAAAAGGAUACCAGUGAAUAGUUAUUUAAUACUUACCAUUUGUUAGCACCAUAAUAGUGUUUUUAAAUUAAUUAAUUAAUUAAUUAAUUUUUGUCUUUUUGUCUUUUUUUAGGGCUGCACCCGUGGCAUA